Molecule: ribosomal RNA, 489 nt
Filed under: uncultured Rhizophagus
Lineage: Eukaryota; Fungi; Glomeromycota; Glomeromycetes; Glomerales; Glomeraceae
Description: SSU rRNA
Rfam family: Eukaryotic small subunit ribosomal RNA
Source: RNAcentral
GUGUUAGGGCACGACACCGGAGAGGGAGCCUGAGAACGGCUACCACAUCCAGGAUGGCAGCAGGCGCGCAAAUUACCCAAUCCCGACACGGGGAGGUAGUGACAAUAAAUAACAAUAGGGGGUUCUUUAGGAUCUCGUAAUUGRAAUGAGUACAAUUUAAAUCUCUUAACGAGGAACAAUUGGAGGGCAAGUCUGGUGCCAGCAGCCGCGGUAAUUCCAGCUCCAAUAGCGUAUAUUAAAGUUGUUGCAGUUAAAAAGCUCGUAGUUGAAUUUCGGGGUUAGUAGGUUGGUCAUGCCUCUGGUAUGUACUGGUCUCACUGAUUCCUCCUUCCUGAUGAACCUUAAUGCCAUUAAUUUGGUGUUUUKGGGGAAUUUGGACUGUUACUUUGAAAAAAUUAGAGUGUUUAAAGCAAGCUAACGCUUGAAUACAUUAGCAUGGAAUAAUGAAAUARGACCUUCGAUCCUAUUUUGUUGGUUUCUAGGAUUGAC